Molecule: ribosomal RNA, 257 nt
Filed under: uncultured bacterium
Lineage: Bacteria
Description: partial 16S ribosomal RNA
Rfam family: Bacterial small subunit ribosomal RNA
Source: RNAcentral
UACGUAGGGUGCGAGCGUUUAAUCGGAAUUACUGGGCGUAAAGCGUGCGCAGGCGGUUCGCUGUGUCCGAUGUGAAAGCCCCGGGCUUAACCUGGGAAUGGCAUUGGAAACUGGCGGGCUUGAGUGCGGCAGAGGGGGGGUGGAAUUCCGCGGUGUAGCAGUGAAAUGCGUAGAGAUGCGGAGGAACACCGAUGGCGAAGGCAGCCCCCCUGGGUCGACACUGACGCUCAGGCACGAAAGCGUGGGGAGCAAACAGG